Molecule: ribosomal RNA, 496 nt
Filed under: uncultured bacterium
Lineage: Bacteria
Description: partial 16S ribosomal RNA
Rfam family: Bacterial small subunit ribosomal RNA
Source: RNAcentral
GAUGAACGCUGGCGGCGUGCCUAAUACAUGCAAGUCGAGCGAACAGAUGAGGAGCUUGCUCCUCUGACGUUAGCGGCGGACGGGUGAGUAACACGUGGAUAACCUACCUAUAAGACUGGGAUAACUUCGGGAAACCGGAGCUAAUACCGGAUAAUAUAUUGAACCGCAUGGUUCAAUAGUGAAAGACGGUUUUGCUGUCACUUAUAGAUGGAUCCGCGCCGCAUUAGCUAGUUGGUAAGGUAACGGCUUACCAAGGCAACGAUGCGUAGCCGACCUGAGAGGGUGAUCGGCCACAGUGGAAGUGAGACACGGUCCAGACUCGUACGGGGGGCAGCAGUAGGGAAUCUUCCGCAAUGGGCGAAGGCCUGACGGAGCAACGCAGCGUGAGUGAUGAGGUCUUCGGAUCGUAAAACUCUGUUAUUAGGGAAGAACAAAUGUGUAAGUAACUAUGCACGUCUUGACGGUACCUAAUCAGAAAGCCACGGCUAACUACGUG